GGAUGAACGCUAGCUACAGGCUUAACACAUGCAAGUCGAGGGGCAGCAUGGUCUUAGCUUGCUAAGGCCGAUGGCGACCGGCGCACGGGUGAGUAACACGUAUCCAACCUGCCGUCUACUCUUGGACAGCCUUCUGAAAGGAAGAUUAAUACAAGAUGGCAUCAUGAGUCCGCAUGUUCACAUGAUUAAAGGUAUUCCGGUAGACGAUGGGGAUGCGUUCCAUUAGAUAGUAGGCGGGGUAACGGCCCACCUAGUCUUCGAUGGAUAGGGGUUCUGAGAGGAAGGUCCCCCACAUUGGAACUGAGACACGGUCCAAACUCCUACGGGAGGCAGCAGUGAGGAAUAUUGGUCAAUGGGCGAGAGCCUGAACCAGCCAAGUAGCGUGAAGGAUGACUGCCCUAUGGGUUGUAAACUUCUUUUAUAAAGGAAUAAAGUCGGGUAUGGAUACCCGUUUGCAUGUACUUUAUGAAUAAGGAUCGGCUAACUCCGUGCCAGCAGCCGCGGUAAUACGGAGGAUCCGAGCGUUAUCCGGAUUUAUUGGGUUUAAAGGGAGCGUAGAUGGAUGUUUAAGUCAGUUGUGAAAGUUUGCGGCUCAACCGUAAAAUUGCAGUUGAUACUGGAUAUCUUGAGUGCAGUUGAGGCAGGCGGAAUUCGUGGUGUAGCGGUGAAAUGCUUAGAUAUCACGAAGAACUCCGAUUGCGAAGGCAGCCUGCUAAGCUGCAACUGACAUUGAGGCUCGAAAGUGUGGGUAUCAAACAGGAUUAGAUACCCUGGUAGUCCACACGGUAAACGAUGAAUACUCGCUGUUUGCGAUAUACUGCAAGCGGCCAAGCGAAAGCGUUAAGUAUUCCACCUGGGGAGUACGCCGGCAACGGUGAAACUCAAAGGAAUUGACGGGGGCCCGCACAAGCGGAGGAACAUGUGGUUUAAUUCGAUGAUACGCGAGGAACCUUACCCGGGCUUAAAUUGCAGAUGAAUUACGGUGAAAGCCGUAAGCCGCAAGGCAUCUGUGAAGGUGCUGCAUGGUUGUCGUCAGCUCGUGCCGUGAGGUGUCGGCUUAAGUGCCAUAACGAGCGCAACCCUUGUUGUCAGUUACUAACAGGUUCCGCUGAGGACUCUGACAAGACUGCCAUCGUAAGAUGUGAGGAAGGUGGGGAUGACGUCAAAUCAGCACGGCCCUUACGUCCGGGGCUACACACGUGUUACAAUGGGGGGUACAGAGGGCCGCUACCACGCGAGUGGAUGCCAAUCCCCAAAACCUCUCUCAGUUCGGACUGGAGUCUGCAACCCGACUCUACGAAGCUGGAUUCGCUAGUAAUCGCGCAUCAGCCACGGCGCGGUGAAUACGUUCCCGGGCCUUGUACACACCGCCCGUCAAGCCAUGGGAGCCGGGGGUACAAGAAGUGCGUAACCGCGAGGAGCGCCCUAGGGUAAAACUGGUA
This 1442-nucleotide ribosomal RNA is filed under the name uncultured organism. RNAcentral's name for it is "SSU rRNA". It matches the Rfam family "Bacterial small subunit ribosomal RNA". The record is from RNAcentral.